This 74-nucleotide transfer RNA is filed under the name Platycnemis latipes. RNAcentral's name for it is "tRNA-Val". It matches the Rfam family "tRNA". Rfam says of the family: Transfer RNA (tRNA) molecules are approximately 80 nucleotides in length. Their secondary structure includes four short double-helical elements and three loops (D, anti-codon, and T loops). The record is from RNAcentral. Lineage: Eukaryota; Metazoa; Arthropoda; Insecta; Odonata; Platycnemididae.
AACAAAUUAUAGUUCAUUUAGAGAACGUUUCACUUACACUGAAAUAGUAACUGUGCAAUUCAGUUUGAUUUGAU